Molecule: unclassified non-coding RNA, 686 nt
Filed under: Hevea brasiliensis (rubber tree)
Lineage: Eukaryota; Viridiplantae; Streptophyta; Magnoliopsida; Malpighiales; Euphorbiaceae
Source: RNAcentral
GUGGAUUAUGCCUUCAUAGUGGGAUACACAGUCACUCCAAAUUUGUCCGCAUCCAACACAACAGUUGAAAGUGAACGUUUCUUAUGCAUUUGUGCGAUGAUCGUAUUGGAUUGCCCAAGAUAUAUGGUGCAAGACCUCUCAGACCAGCUUCCCUUGACCUUGAAAUCAGGGACAGUUUCUGCUGUGUUAGUAGCUAAGAAUACAUCUAAUUCUGUUUUGAUUUGGAUGAUAGACGAUUUCUUCACGCUGAAAAUUAAAUUUUUGGGGUUUGCGCUGUCUCCUCUGAAAACAAGCCAUCUCCUAUGGGCAGUGAAUAUCUUCUGUAGGAAAGUGGCAAUGACAUUGCCAGAGGGGUCAAGCAAAUAACGACGAUCAUGGAUGCUUAAGAGUUUACUUUUCACCCUUAAAAUCAGGUUGCCCAUAGUGUCGGUGACGCCUAAAUUACAUUCUCCAAGAGCCAAAAGCUUGGUGGACACUUGCAGGUCCAUCGGAUACUGUGCCAAGAACUGUGGUCCGAUCACCACCACUGGAGACUGCAACGGAGACUGCAACGGAGACUGUUGACAAGUUUUAAAUAUCGGAAUCGGGUUACUUGGAAAACGGGCCAUAAUAAAUCGCAGAAAAGAAAAAUAACAAGCUGAAAUUAGAAAGAGAAACAGAAAGCUAAAGCUAGCGAUGGAGAGAAC